GCAGCAGGCGCGAAACCUUUACACUGCACGUCAGUGCGAUAAGGGGAUCCCAAGUGCGCAGGCAUAGAGCCUGCGCUUUUCUGAACCGUAGGGAGGUUCAGGAACAAGUGCUGGGCAAGACCGGUGCCAGCCGCCGUGGUAAUACCGGCAGCACGAGUGAUGGCCGAUAUUAUUGGGCCUAAAGCGUCCGUAGCUGGCCUGUCAAGUCCGUCGGGAAAUCUACCAGCGCAACUGGUAGGCGUCCGGCAGAAACUGGCAGGCUUGGGACCGGAAGGCUCGAGGGGUACGUCCGGGGUAGGAGUGAAAUCCCGUAAUCCUGGACGGACCGCCGAUGGCGAAAGCACCUCGAGAAGACGGAUCCGACAGUGAGGGACGAAAGCUAGGGUCUCGAACCGGAUUAGAUACCCGGGUAGUCCUAGCCGUAAACGAUGCCUGUUAGGUGUGGCUCCCACUACGAGUGGGUGCUGUGCCGUAGGGAAGCCGCUAAACAGGCCGCCUGGGAAGUACGUCCGCAAGGAUGAAACUUAAAGGAAUUGGCGGGGGAGCACUACAACCGGAGGAGCCUGCGGUUUAAUUGGAUUCAACGCCGG
Molecule: ribosomal RNA, 590 nt
Filed under: uncultured haloarchaeon
Lineage: Archaea; Methanobacteriati; Methanobacteriota; Halobacteria; Halobacteriales; Halobacteriaceae
Description: bacterial SSU rRNA
Rfam family: Archaeal small subunit ribosomal RNA
Source: RNAcentral